Long non-coding RNA from Mustela erminea (ermine), 142 nucleotides. RefSeq lists it as uncharacterized. NCBI's taxonomy places the organism in Eukaryota, Metazoa, Chordata, Mammalia, Carnivora, Mustelidae. The transcript has 3 exons. The record is from RefSeq and is a predicted model, not a curated record.
AUUGUUUUCAUAUAAAACACCGAGUGUUCCAUGCAAUCCAUGCCUUCCUUCAUACUCAUCACCAGGCUCAUUCAUCCUCCCAGCACCCUCCCUUCUAAAACCCUCAGUUUGUUUCCUGGAGUCUAUAGUCUCUCAUGGCUCA